UGCACACCUGCAAUUCUGGUCCUCAUAACCACACAGUCAGCAGGGAAGGCUGAUGCCUUCCAGUAGGAAGACAAGAUGUAUGAACAUUGAAGACUCCAGCAUUCAGGCAACAAACUCCUUCCACCCAACUGGAUGCUAUUCUAGGUGUGUCAAGUCCCACAUAUAUUGUGCCAUUUAUGCAUCUUAAUUUGAUUGUGAGUCAUUCUGUGUCUGUUCUGUGAAGCUACUGUUAACAUCAAGGAAUUUCCCACUGCAACAUGCUCAAAGGUUCAUUUAGGGGGUGAGCAUCAUUGAAAGAGUAGGAGGUUUUCCCCUGUAUCAAUUCAUUUUGCCCUCUGACCCACUGAGUAUUAAAAUCUAGCCAGGGUAGUCAACUUCUUUCCAAAGAUAGUCUAUCUCUUUUGUCAAAUAAACUCCUCAAUGGGAAGAAUUUUUCUGUGCUUUACUGUUUC
RNAcentral lists this long non-coding RNA (452 nucleotides) under Pan troglodytes (chimpanzee). RNAcentral's name for it is "long non-coding RNA NONPTRT015232". The record is from RNAcentral. Lineage: Eukaryota; Metazoa; Chordata; Mammalia; Primates; Hominidae.